RNAcentral lists this ribosomal RNA (253 nucleotides) under uncultured bacterium. Its description in RNAcentral is "partial 16S ribosomal RNA". It matches the Rfam family "Bacterial small subunit ribosomal RNA", at positions 524 to 776 of the family's 1533-position model. The record is from RNAcentral.
CACGGGGGGAGCAAGCGUUGUUCGGAAUCACUGGGCGUAAAGGGCGUGUAGGCGGUUGUGUAAGUGGGAUGUGAUAUGCCUCGGCUUACCCGGGGACCUGCAUCCCAUACUGCAUGACUUGAGUACGGGAGAGGAUGAGGGAAUUCCUGGUGUAGCGGUGAAAUGCGUAGAUAUCAGGAGGAACACCGGUGGCGAAGGCGCUCAUCUGGCCCGAUACUGACGCUGAGGCGCGAAAGCUAGGGUAGCGAACGGG